Molecule: ribosomal RNA, 538 nt
Filed under: uncultured bacterium
Lineage: Bacteria
Description: bacterial SSU rRNA
Rfam family: Bacterial small subunit ribosomal RNA
Source: RNAcentral
UGAGGAAUAUUGGUCAAUGGACGAGAGUCUGAACCAGCCAAGUAGCGUGCAGGAUGACGGCCCUAUGGGUUGUAAACUGCUUUUGUAUGGGGAUAAAGUCAAUCACGUGUGAUUGUUUGCAGGUACCAUACGAAUAAGGACCGGCUAAUUCCGUGCCAGCAGCCGCGGUAAUACGGAAGGUCCGGGCGUUAUCCGGAUUUAUUGGGUUUAAAGGGAGCGUAGGCCGGAGAUUAAGUGUGUUGUGAAAUGUAGACGCUCAACGUCUGACUUGCAGCGCAUACUGGUUUCCUUGAGUACGCACAACGUUGGCGGAAUUCGUCGUGUAGCGGUGAAAUGCUUAGAUAUGACGAAGAACUCCGAUUGCGAAGGCAGCUGACGGGAGCGCAACUGACGCUUAAGCUCGAAGGUGCGGGUAUCGAACAGGAUUAGAUACCCUGGUAGUCCGCACAGUAAACGAUGGAUGCCCGCUGUUGGUACCUGGUAUCAGCGGCUAAGCGAAAGCAUUAAGCAUCCCACCUGGGGAGUACGCCGGCACGGU